This 510-nucleotide ribosomal RNA is filed under the name uncultured bacterium. RNAcentral describes it as "partial 16S ribosomal RNA". It matches the Rfam family "Bacterial small subunit ribosomal RNA", at positions 28 to 507 of the family's 1533-position model. The record is from RNAcentral.
GACGAACGCUGGCGGCGUGCUUAACACAUGCAAGUCGAACGAAGAGCGAUGGAAGCUUGCUUCUAUCAAUCUUAGUGGCGAACGGGUGAGUAACGCGUAAUCAACCUGCCCUUCAGAGGGGGACAACAGUUGGAAACGACUGCUAAUACCGCAUACGAUCUAAUCUCGGCAUCGAGGAUAGAUGAAAGGUGGCCUCUACAUGUAUGCUAUCACUGAAGGAGGGGAUUGCGUCUGAUUAGCUAGUUGGAGGGGUAACGGCCCACCAAGGCGAUGAUCAGUAGCCGGUCUGAGAGGAUGAACGGCCACAUUGGGACUGAGACACGGCCCAGACUCCUACGGGAGGCAGCAGUGGGGAAUCUUCCGCAAUGGACGAAAGUCUGACGGAGCAACGCCGCGUGAGUGAUGACGGCCUUCGGGUUGUAAAGCUCUGUUAAUCGGGACGAAAGGCCUUCUUGCGAAUAGUGAGAAGGAUUGACGGUACCGGAAGAGAAAGCCACGGCUAACUACGUG